AUGCAGCCAUGCCGCGUGUGUGAAGAAGGCCUUCGGGUUGUAAAGCACUUUCAGUUGUGAGGAAAAGUUAGUAGUUAAUACCUGCUAGCCGUGACGUUAACAACAGAAGAAGCACCGGCUAACUCCGUGCCAGCAGCCGCGGUAAUACGGAGGGUGCGAGCGUUAAUCGGAAUUACUGGGCGUAAAGCGCACGCAGGCGGUUUGUUAAGCUAGAUGUGAAAGCCCCGGGCUCAACCUGGGAUGGUCAUUUAGAACUGGCAGACUAGAGUCUUGGAGAGGGGAGUGGAAUUCCAGGUGUAGCGGUGAAAUGCGUAGAUAUCUGGAGGAACAUCAGUGGCGAAGGCGACUCCCUGGCCAAAGACUGACGCUCAUGUGCGAAAGUGUGGGUAGCGAACAGGAUUAGAUACCCUGGUAGUCCACACCGUAAACGCUGUCUACUAGCUGUUUGUGACUUUAAGUCGUGAGUAGCGAAGCUAACGCGCUAAGUAGACCGCCUGGGGAGUACGGCCGCAAGGUUAAAACUCAAAUGAAUUGACGGGGGCCCGCACAAGCGGUGGAGCAUGUGGUUUAAUUCGAUGCAACGCGAAGAACCUUACCUACACUUGACAUGCAGAGAACUUUCUAGAGAUAGAUUGGUGCCUUCGGGAACUCUGACACAGGUGCUGCAUGGCUGUCGUCAGCUCGUGUCGUGAGAUGUUGGGUUAAGUCCCGCAACGAGCGCAACCCUUGUCCUUAGUUGCCAGCAUUAAGUUGGGCACUCUAAGGAGACUGCCGGUGACAAACCGGAGGAAGGUGGGGACGACGUCAAGUCAUCAUGGCCCC
This 822-nucleotide ribosomal RNA is filed under the name uncultured Alteromonadaceae bacterium. RNAcentral's name for it is "bacterial SSU rRNA". It matches the Rfam family "Bacterial small subunit ribosomal RNA", at positions 386 to 1202 of the family's 1533-position model. Lineage: Bacteria; Pseudomonadati; Pseudomonadota; Gammaproteobacteria; Alteromonadales; Alteromonadaceae. The record is from RNAcentral.